CCUACGGGUGGCAGCAGUGAGGAAUAUUGGGCAAUGGGCGGGAGCCUGAACCAACCAAGCCGCGUGAGGGAAGAAGGUACAGCGUGUCGUACACCUCUUUUGUCAGGGAACAAAGGCGGGGACUAGUCCCCGGAUGAGGGUAACUGAAGAAAAAGCAUCGGCUAACUCCGUGCCAGCAGGCGGUGUAAUACGGAGGAUGCGAGCGUUAUCCGGUUUUAUUGGGGUUAAAGGGUGCGCAGGCGGCCUGUUAAGUCAGCGGUAAAAGCUCGGGGCUCAACCCCGGCGAGACGUUGAAACUGGCGGUCUGGAGUGGGCGAGAAGUACGCGGAAUGCGCGGUGUAGCGGUGAAAUGCUUAGAU
This 359-nucleotide ribosomal RNA is filed under the name uncultured bacterium. RNAcentral describes it as "partial 16S ribosomal RNA". It matches the Rfam family "Bacterial small subunit ribosomal RNA", at positions 338 to 695 of the family's 1533-position model. The record is from RNAcentral.